CCCUUAGAUGUUCUGGGCCGCACACGCGCUACACUGAAGGAGGCAGCGUGUACUCCUGGAUCGAAAGAUUUGGGUAACCCGCGAAUCUCCUUCGUGCUAGGGAUUGAGGUUUGCAAUUAUCCUUCAUGAACGAGGAAUUCCCAGUAAGUGCAAGUCAUAAGCUUGCGCUGACUACGUCCCUGCCCUUUGUACACACCGCCCGUCGCUACUACCGAUUGAAUGAUUUAGUGAGGACUUCGGACUGGGACCGAUGCGGCUUUCGGGCUGCGUCGGUAUUCUGGAAAGAUGUCCACACUGUAUCAUUUAGAGGAAGUAAAAGUCGUAACA
Molecule: ribosomal RNA, 327 nt
Filed under: uncultured eukaryote
Lineage: Eukaryota
Description: partial 18S ribosomal RNA
Rfam family: Eukaryotic small subunit ribosomal RNA
Source: RNAcentral